AUACGGAGGAUGCAAGCGUUAUCCGGAUUUAUUGGGUUUAAAGGGUGCGUAGGCGGACGUGUAAGUCAGGGGUGAAAUACCGGGGCUCAACCUCGGAACUGCCUUUGAUACUGCAUGUCUGGAGUUCGGAUGCCGUGGGAGGAAUGGGCAGUGUAGCGGUGAAAUGCAUAGAUAUUGCCCAGAACACCGAUUGCGAAGGCAUCUCACGAAUCCGACACUGACGCUGAGGCACGAAAGCGUGGGGAUCAAACAGGAUUAGAUACCCUGGUAGUCCACGCAGUAAACGAUGAUGACUAACCGUCGGCGAUAGACAGUCGGUGGCCAAGCGAAAGCGAUAAGUCAUCCACCUGGGGAGUACGUUCGCAAGAAUGAAACUCAAAUGAAUUGACGGGG
This 393-nucleotide ribosomal RNA is filed under the name uncultured bacterium. RNAcentral describes it as "partial 16S ribosomal RNA". It matches the Rfam family "Bacterial small subunit ribosomal RNA", at positions 523 to 918 of the family's 1533-position model. The record is from RNAcentral.